Molecule: long non-coding RNA, 378 nt
Organism: Gasterosteus aculeatus aculeatus (three-spined stickleback)
Lineage: Eukaryota; Metazoa; Chordata; Actinopteri; Perciformes; Gasterosteidae
Source: Ensembl
ACAGCAACAAACAUUGGCCUUGAGUGGAAAGAGUUGGUAAACACCGAGUGGAUUCGGGUUGGUCAAACGCUCGACUCGGCGCGUCGUUUUCUGCGAAAAGCUGGUUGUGCUGCUGGUUGUCUUGUUCCGGUAGCCUAGCGGGGCCACUUGCAGGCAGGGCUGGAGCUUUUGCAUCACCUGGCCCUUAAUCUCUUAAACAAGACCCGCACUCCACCGUUCUCCCUCCCUGCUGGCUGGAACUCCCACCGGAGGCCCCUUAAUCCUGUGCAGCGCGAGUCCGUGACUGCCGAGGGACCUCGGAGCCCCCCGUCCGGCCUGCGUGUCUCUCCGGCGAGCGGUCGCACUCUUGACGGUCCAUCUGUUGCCGCUGUCUUUCAG